GUCUUUGCUAUUUACUUGCUAUGUGAACUAAUCAUUAAUAAUUGUCAUUAUUUUGUUUAAAUAUUUUCUUUUUUCUAUAAUCAAUUGCUGUGCUUGCUGGUGUCUCGCUGUGCUUGCGGGCUUUUAUUGGGUUGAGGUUUUAUUCCAUCUCUGGGGAGGGCCCACUAUUCACCAACAUGCGGCUCGUUUUACUGCCCCUUUUUUAUCCUACAUAGCGUGGCAGCAUAAGAUAUAGCCAGUUUUCUUACUGCUAUAUCUUUAGUGACCACAGGGUGGCGAUCCCGCGCCAUCCCUGUGAUUACUAUAUCCAAUGCAGUACCCUCGUUCCACCUGCAGGGCGCGUGCUUUGGUAAUUAUGCGGCCAGCUCUGAUGACAUCACCCGGCAGCGCCGAGGUGUAUGUCGAUUCGGGCGGGACAGGGAGCUAUUUAAGGGCCCUCAGCCCUAGCACAUACAUCUGUAGCCUCCCGGGAGGCACACGGACACUGUUUACUUGCCUGCAGUUCUACUAUCAGAGACCUGACAGGGCUUGUCUAUACCUGGCCCCUUGUUAUCUUUCUGGAGUGCAUCCAUUGUGAAUAUGGUGUUUAAAUUCACUGUAUUGCUAUAUGAUCAGCUUACACUCCUGUGUUAAUUUCAACUCACUAUGGUUACAGCCUGAUUAGCUCUAUCUACCUUCACUGGAUUUUUAGCUGCAAUCUGCAUUGGCUAUAUACUACUAUGGUGUAGAUGGAACUUUUUCACUGGAUGCCAGUACAAGUUUAUUCUUUUAACCAUUAACCCUUCACCAGUUCAGACUCCGGGUUACUGUUACCCCUAAUCUCAACUGAUGCUCCUCUAGCACAUUUAUAACAAAAAGCCCUUUGAAGAAGCGCCAUAUCUCAGCGCGAAACAUGUCAGGCCACAGCGAUUCCUUUGUCAUCGUUUAGACCUUCAGUCUUCGGUCCUUCCUCAGGAACUUUUACAAUCUAUAAGUGGUUGGAGGUUCUUUGUUUGUCUUUAUCAACAGUAUAUCUCAAUAACCAGUUUAAAUUCUUUUUAUGUAAUUAUGUUUAAUUACCAAUUCCUGAUGGUUCUCACUGAAUACUGUAAUGCUGUGUAAUUUUGUUUUUGUGCAAAUUCAAUCAUAUGGAGAUUUUCUUAAAGUGUUUAAUAAUACCUUGUGUAAUAAAUAUAUUUUUUUAGCAAAAA
This is a long non-coding RNA of Rana temporaria (common frog), 1190 nucleotides long. RefSeq lists it as uncharacterized. NCBI's taxonomy places the organism in Eukaryota, Metazoa, Chordata, Amphibia, Anura, Ranidae. The transcript is spliced from 4 exons. The record is from RefSeq and is a predicted model, not a curated record.